RNAcentral lists this transfer RNA (82 nucleotides) under Chlorobiota bacterium. Its description in RNAcentral is "tRNA-Leu". It matches the Rfam family "tRNA". Rfam says of the family: Transfer RNA (tRNA) molecules are approximately 80 nucleotides in length. Lineage: Bacteria; Pseudomonadati; Chlorobiota. The record is from RNAcentral.
GCCGCGAUGGUGGAACUGGUAGACACGCAUGCCUUAGGAGCAUGUGGGGAAACCCGUAAGAGUUCGAGUCUCUUUCGCGGCA